UUUGGUACCCCGAGCGGCGUGGCCCCACCUCUUCCCAUUCCGAACAGAGAAGUGAAACGCGCCAGCGCCGAUGAUACUUGGACCCAACCCGGUCCUGGGAAAGUAGGCCGGUGCCAGAA
This 119-nucleotide ribosomal RNA is filed under the name bacterium. The record is from RNAcentral.